Long non-coding RNA from Thalassophryne amazonica, 243 nucleotides. RefSeq lists it as uncharacterized. The transcript is spliced from 3 exons. NCBI's taxonomy places the organism in Eukaryota, Metazoa, Chordata, Actinopteri, Batrachoidiformes, Batrachoididae. The record is from RefSeq and is a predicted model, not a curated record.
GUCUGAGUGGUGUCAAUUUAUUGUCUGUUGGCAUCCUUUACUUUAAUGCCUGCACCCCAGCAAACCACAGCAAAGUAGAUGAUGCUCGCAACAACAGACUGAGAGAACAUCUGGAGCAUCCUGUUACAUAUAUUAAAGGAUCUGAGCCUCCUCAAGGAGUAAAGCCGCCUCAGGCCCUUCUUGUAGAAGGCCUCUGUGUUUGUAGACCAUUUCAGUUUAUUGUCCAGGUAGAUGCCCAGAUAC